RNAcentral lists this ribosomal RNA (379 nucleotides) under uncultured bacterium. Its description in RNAcentral is "partial 16S ribosomal RNA". It matches the Rfam family "Bacterial small subunit ribosomal RNA", at positions 355 to 724 of the family's 1533-position model. The record is from RNAcentral.
UGGGGAAUUUUGGACAAUGGGCGAAGGCCUGAUCCAGCAAUGCCGCGUGUGUGAAGAAGGCCUUCGGGUUGUAAAGCACUUUUGUCCGGAAAGAAAUCCUUGGCUCUAAUACAGUCGGGGGGAUGACGGUACCGGAAGAAUAAGCACCGGCUAACUACGUGCCAGCAGCCGCGGUAAUACGUAGGGUGCAAGCGUUAAUCGGAAUUACUGGGCGUAAAGCGUGCGCAGGCGGUUUGCUAAGACCGAUGUGAAAUCCCCGGGCUCAACCUGGGAACUGCAUUGGGUGACUGGCAGGCUAGAGUAUGGCAGAGGGGGGUAGAAUUCCACGUGUAGCAGUGAAAUGCGUAGAGAUGUGGAGGAAUACCGAUGGCGAAGGCAG